RNAcentral lists this unclassified non-coding RNA (150 nucleotides) under uncultured fungus. Its description in RNAcentral is "sequence contains ITS1". Lineage: Eukaryota; Fungi. The record is from RNAcentral.
UUGAUUCAAAUCAUGGAUUCAGACAUAAGACGGAUUCCUGCAUGAAGACGGCGCCGGAGCGCCGAAGCACGGGUCGCUUCCACUGGUUUGAGCGUCGAGGGCGCGUGGCGCCGUUCGAUAAUGAUCCCUCCGCAGGUUCACCUACGGAGA